CCUACGGGUGGCAGCAGUGGGGAAUAUUGGGCAAUGGGCGCAAGCCUGACCCAGCAACGCCGCGUGAAGGAAGAAGGCUCUCGGGUUGUAAACUUCUUUUAAGAGGGAAGAGCAGAAGACGGUACCUCUUGAAUAAGCCACGGCUAAAUACGUGCCAGCAGCUGCGGUAAUACGUAGGUGGCGAGCGUUGUCCGGAUUUACUGGGUGUAAAGGGCGUGCAGCGGGGAAGACAAGUCAGAUGUGAAAUCCCGCGGCUCAACCGCAGAACUGCAGUUGAAACUGGUUUUCUUGAGUACCGGAGAGGUCAGCGGAAUUCGUGGUGUAGCGGUGAAAUGCUUAGAUAUAACGAAGAACACCAGUGGCGAAGGCAGAUGACUGGACGGCAACUGACGGUGAGGCGCGAAAGCGUGGGGAGCAAACAGGAUUAGAUACCCGGGUAGUC
RNAcentral lists this ribosomal RNA (442 nucleotides) under uncultured bacterium. Its description in RNAcentral is "partial 16S ribosomal RNA". It matches the Rfam family "Bacterial small subunit ribosomal RNA", at positions 338 to 795 of the family's 1533-position model. The record is from RNAcentral.